Molecule: ribosomal RNA, 434 nt
Filed under: uncultured Lachnospiraceae bacterium
Lineage: Bacteria; Bacillati; Bacillota; Clostridia; Lachnospirales; Lachnospiraceae
Description: partial 16S ribosomal RNA
Rfam family: Bacterial small subunit ribosomal RNA
Source: RNAcentral
ACGGAAGGCAGCAGUGGGGAAUAUUGCACAAUGGGGGAAACCCUGAUGCAGCGACGCCGCGUGAGUGAAGAAGUUAUUCGUAAUGUAAAGCUCUAUCAGCAGGGAAGAAAAUGACGGUACCUGACUAAGAAGCCCCGGCUAACUACGUGCCAGCAGCCGCGGUAAUAAGUAGGGGGCAAGCGUUAUCCGGAUUUACUGGGUGUAAAGGGAGCGUAGACGGUCUAGCAAGUCUGAUGUGAAAGGCAGGGGCUCAACUCCUGGACUGCAUUGGAAACUGUUAGUCUUGAGUGUCGGAGAGGUAAGCGGAAUUCCUAGUGUAGCGGUGAAAUGCGUAGAUAUUAGGAGGAACACCAGUGGCGAAGGCGGCUUACUGGACGAUAACUGACGUUGAGGCUCGAAAGCGUGGGGAGCAAACAGGAUUAGAUACCCUGGUA